This is a non-coding RNA of Dolosigranulum pigrum ATCC 51524, 183 nucleotides long. It matches the Rfam family "6S / SsrS RNA". From Rfam's summary of the family: E. coli 6S RNA was the first non coding RNA to be sequenced, but its function was unknown until recently. It consists of 184 nucleotides that fold into an extended hairpin structure with a large single-stranded internal bulge. The 6S RNA specifically associates with RNA polymerase holoenzyme containing the sigma70 specificity factor. NCBI's taxonomy places the organism in Bacteria, Bacillati, Bacillota, Bacilli, Lactobacillales, Carnobacteriaceae. The record is from Rfam.
AGGUAUCUGAGGUGUUCGAGUUGUCUAUUUAACGAGUUGACCGAACAUUUAUACAUUGGGAUUCGAAAGCUCAUGUUCAUGACAAGCCUUUUCACUUGGACGUCAGAUGCGUGAGUGGAGAAGCCCACCUGCAAAUAGCGGGUACAACCUUUCAGACAACGGAUCGGCACCAGUGGAUACCUC